UACACUCCUGCGGGAGGCAGCAGUGGGGAAUAUUGGACAAUGGGCGCAAGCCUGAUCCAGCCAUGCCGCGUGAGUGAUGAAGGCCCUAGGGUUGUAAAGCUCUUUCACCGGUGAAGAUAAUGACGGUAACCGGAGAAGAAGCCCCGGCUAACUUCGUGCCAGCAGCCGCGGUAAUACGAAGGGGGCUAGCGUUGUUCGGAUUUACUGGGCGUAAAGCGCACGUAGGCGGACUAUUAAGUCAGGGGUGAAAUCCCGGGGCUCAACCCCGGAACUGCCUUUGAUACUGGUAGUCUUGAGUUCGAGAGAGGUGAGUGGAAUUCCGAGUGUAGGGGUGAAAUUCGUAGAUAUUCGGAGGAACACCAGUGGCGAAGGCGGCUCACUGGCUCGAUACUGACGCUGAGGUGCGAAAGCGUGGGGAGCAAACAGGAUUAGAAACCCGUGUAGUCCCAUGA
Molecule: ribosomal RNA, 452 nt
Filed under: uncultured organism
Description: partial 16S ribosomal RNA
Rfam family: Bacterial small subunit ribosomal RNA
Source: RNAcentral